Molecule: long non-coding RNA, 169 nt
Organism: Salvia splendens (bonfire salvia)
Lineage: Eukaryota; Viridiplantae; Streptophyta; Magnoliopsida; Lamiales; Lamiaceae
Exons: 3
Source: RefSeq, a predicted model, not a curated record
CUUCAUAUGAGUUUGCAAGGAAGCAUGGCUGCUUUUCAGCGUUACAAAGCAAGUGUGGACCCAGCUCCUGCUUCUGGAGGUUGAAAUUGAAACAACCCAAAAUUGAUCGGACUAGGCGUAUGUGGAGUGAUCGUGAGGAACAGGUUCUGCUGACAUCUUUGAUGGAGCU